AUAGCGUAUAUUAAAGUUGUUGCAGUUAAAAAGCUCGUAGUUGGAUUUCUGGUGGAGUGCCGAUGUCCGAUUGUUAUCGUGUGCAAAGGCGCUCUACCAUCCUUCUGUUAACGGUUCAUGGUAUUUAUUUACUGGUUCCGGGCUCAGAUAUUUUACCUUGAGAAAAUUAGAGUGUUUCAGGCAGGCUUGCGCCAGAAUACAUUAGCAUGGAAUAAUAGAAUAGGACUUCUGUCUCCUUUGUUGGUUUGAGGGAUCGAAGUAAUGAUUAAUAGGGAUAGUUGGGGGCAUUAGUAUUUAAUUGUCAGAGGUGAAAUUCUCGGAUUUGUUAAAGACUAACUUAUG
Molecule: ribosomal RNA, 342 nt
Filed under: uncultured eukaryote
Lineage: Eukaryota
Description: SSU rRNA
Rfam family: Eukaryotic small subunit ribosomal RNA
Source: RNAcentral